CACGGGGGGAGCAAGCGUUGUUCGGAAUUACUGGGCGUAAAGGGCGUGUAGGCGGUCAAGUAAGUGGAAUGUGAAACGCCUCGGCUUACCCGAGGACCUGCAUCCCAAACUGCUUGGCUUGAGUAUGGGAGAGGAUGAGGGAAUUCCUGGUGUAGCGGUGAAAUGCGUAGAUAUCAGGAGGAACACCUAUUGCGAAGGCAGCUCGCUGGGACGUAACUGACGCUGAGACGCGAAAGCGUGGGGAGCAAACAGG
Molecule: ribosomal RNA, 253 nt
Filed under: uncultured bacterium
Lineage: Bacteria
Description: partial 16S ribosomal RNA
Rfam family: Bacterial small subunit ribosomal RNA
Source: RNAcentral